RNAcentral lists this long non-coding RNA (4869 nucleotides) under Hordeum vulgare. Its description in RNAcentral is "long non-coding RNA (HVUL_LNC006289)". Lineage: Eukaryota; Viridiplantae; Streptophyta; Magnoliopsida; Poales; Poaceae. The record is from RNAcentral.
ACAACUCAACUUCGAUGAUUUUGGCUCACCUCGGACGGCUGUGUAAUUGAGAAAACUCAUCUAUUGAUAACUAUGUUUUCUAAUGCUCUGUGAUUUUCAGGAAAAUAAUUUGUUUAUGCGAACAAUCAAUCAAUUCAUUGGACUUAGUCAGGACUUGUGACAUCAGAAUGUAAAUGGAAAAUUUUCAGUUUCCACAUUUUCUUCAUUUGCACAUGCUUUUCAGCGAAGAUCAUGGCAGAUAUCAUUUGAAUGCUAUAAUUAAUUCAGGCAGGAGACAACUCAUAUAAUUUUUAAAAUUUACUUUAACCUCCAGUUGGUGCAUGAUGUCAACAACCUCCAGGAAAAAUAUCAAUAAUGAUGUCACAACCAAACACGCCCCUCGUUAGGGAAAAUGAAAGAAAACAUAUCAUUAUACAAAUUCAUAGGCAGGGCUACGUACCAAAUUUGGGUGUCAUCUAAUGGAUAUCAGUGUGAACCUCUCUUUGAAAUAAAUUAGUAUACUGAUUUAGGACCUGGUAAUAUGUUGAGCUAUUACUAGGUUCGGUGUUUAUGAUGAUUCCGGGUUAAUAAAUAUUCCGGUGGGCUGUCCCAUGCAGUAGAUGAGGUGCGAAGACAGAAAAAUAAGAUGUUCGAUGUUCUUCAAGCCGCUGCGGUUUCAGUGCUUCGGAAUGUCUAUGGAAUCAGAGCAACAAGAAUGAAUAGAUAUUCACGAGAGCCCGCAGAAACAGGUGACUGAAAAAGGGAUGUGAAGCCACACACACAUGCACAUAGCAACGAUAGAAAUGGGGAACAAUUUUGUUAAGUCUUAAUCGAUUGAGACUUCGUUAUGUCUCAGUCGAUGCUAUAUGUGUUUGUCCUGCAUUGAGAUACAUAUAAUUUCUUAUUUUCAAUUUUUCUGUUCUGUUCUUAUAUACUUUGUCAUUUGACUAAGACUUGAUUAAAUCUCAGUUGAUUGAGACGUAGCCACACCCAAUAGGGAAUGAUAUUUGAUCUCAAAAAUGCUUUCUUUCACUUGAUUUUAUGAUAUAAGAAGAAAGCAGCCACAACCAAAAUACAGGCAAGCAACUAGGGAGACCGAAGGAUAAAAGCUUCUUGGGCUGGAAUUUGUGCCGAAAAUCCAUGGACAAAUACAUGGAGGCUCUAAUCGAAAUCCAUAAAUACAUGGAGGUUCUUGGUUCUCACACACUAUUGCAGGUGCCUUUUUAGUUUCAGCGGGUGAGAAAAAACAGAGUUGAAAAACAGAGUUACGAGACACGGUAGUAAAUCAGAGGCAGUGUUUAGGGGGAGCGACUGAUUGAUGAACUGCCAACCUAUCUAAUCUAACGACUAUCUAGUACCUUGCGAGAGUGGUAGUACUUGUUGGGUAGUGGUGGACUGGUGGUGAUCCAUGGCGCCAGGCGAACCAUCCAAUUUUUGGCCAGUCACCGCACAGCCUUAUGAUUGAGACCCGCACCCGCAGCGCAUCGUUGGAUCACGUCUCUCCUUUCCCAGCAACUUUUUUUUGAGAAACUCCUCUCAGCAAUUUUUUUUUGAGAAACUCCUCUCCCAGCAACUGUUGCCUCGAUUUAUUUUCCUCCCCAAAAGAACAUAGUGGCCGUAGGCCCAAAUGCACAACAUGAUGGCCCGCGGCCAUAUUCUAUGGCCACUGUCUCCCCUUCCCAUCGCACAUCGCCGCGGCUCGCCGUUGUUGUUUGCCACAAUGUCGUUUGCUUAAGCAUAUCUACUGCGGGUUAUAAUAAACUUGUUCCCGGUCGUAUAGAUUCCACAAAGAAAACCAAAAAACGCGUCAACUAAAUUUGGAAUGGUAAAUUUUUAAUGGAUGAUCGAACUAGAGUUAACAAAAGGUGUUAACUUACAACGGAAUUUGUCCGGUACAUUUGUUUGGAUGAUAUCUAUCAACCUUCGUAAUAAAUGUAGCCACACGGUUUAUUUAUCUUCGAUUAGUGCUCUCUUGAAUUGGAUAUUUAAUGAAUUUAAGCUUAAAACUGCACUAACAUAGUCUUACCCGUGUUGGACAAUAUUAUAAAGAGACGAUACCCUACCGAUAAAAUUAAUAACCCAAACACACACAGUUUGUUUGUCUUUAUGUUUGUACAAUCUAUGCCACAUGGUUCAGCUAAUGCCAGGUCAUGAGAACACCAAGUCCGGUUCUUGAUAAGUGAUGUAAUUGCUAUAUGAGACCUCACGCCAAUAGCUACAUCCACUAUAUCAUUAAAAAGAGACCCGUUUUUCGUGUUUCCCUCAAAUCUCAACUCAUGUAUCAGUAGGAAAAAAUGUAUCACUUGGAAUGCACGUUCGCAUUGGGAGUUUUGUAUCUUUACCUACUUUAAUCUUUAUGAUUGGUCAAAUAGAAGAAAUUAAUAGUCCAAUUGCUGAAAAUAAUGGGAUGUAGUUCCUUCCAUACUCAAGAUGUAGGACUUGGAGGCACCAGGAAGUUAGAUCAUGCUUCUGCUGCUGAGGAGGACGAGAUGGAGCAGGAGGAUAACCCAAUAGUUCUGCUGCUUAGGAACAAUCUAACAGGAUGACGAUGAAGGAUUCGGUGUCUACGGGAUUGCUUAGCCUCCGGUCGGGAGAAAUACCUGCCCGGUUUGCCAGUGUUGGCAGCGGCGGCAUCUGCGGAUGUCGCUCCCUUCUUGGAGGCAUUGUCAAAGCCCUCGGCUGAUCCCCACCUUGAGCCCAGGGGAAACCCUAGGCCCACCGGACGGGAUGGCCAUGGCGUCUCGAUGUGGUCUUCCUUUUUGUAGGCGUUAUCUUGCUUCCUCGCGGUGUCCCUGAUUUUGGCUCUUGCGAUGUUGGUACCCUCACUGGUUCGGUGUUGCCGCUCUUGGUUUAGGCUUCGUAGGUCUAGCUGUGUUGCAUCCCUUUAUCGGGCCAGUAUCCCUUGUUUCCCUGCUCCAGGCACCAUGUUCACGCCUGCCUGUGUUCGUAUCAUGUGAUGUAUGCAAACCGUACUCAUUUUAUUCCUUCUAUCAAUGAAAUGAUACGCAAGCUUUGAUCGUAUCAUGCGACUGAUUGAUGAAUCACCAACCUAUCUAAUCUAACGACUAUCUAGUACCUUGCGAGAGUGGUAGUACCUGUUGGUAGUGGUGGUGAUCCAUGGCGUCAGUCAAACCGUCCAACUUUUGGCCGGUCGACGCACAACCGUACGAUUGACACCAGCACGCAUCGUUGGAUCACGUCUCUCCUCUGCCGGACAACUGUUGCCCCGAUUUAUUUUCCGGCCGCAUGCCCAAAUACACAACAUGCUUGCCCGUCUCUACGGCCCGCGACCAUCUUCUAUGGCCACCGUCCUCCCCUUCCCAUUGCACAUAGUCACGGCUCACCAUCGCUGUUUGCCAUAAUGUCGCUUGUUUAAGCAUCUCUUCCACGGGUCAUAACAAACUUGUUCACUGGUCGCAUAGAUUCCAAAAGGAAAACCCAAAAAGGCGUUAACUUAAUUUUGAAUGGUGUUUUUCUAAUGGAUGAUCGAACUAGAGUUAACAAAAGGCGUCAACUUACAACGGAAUGUGUCCCGUACAUUUGUUAGGAUGAUAUCUAUCAACCCUCAUACUAAAAGCACCCACACAGUUCAUUCAUCUACGAUUAGUGCUCUCUUGAAUUGGAUAUUUAAUGAAUUUGAUCUUACAACAGCCCUAACGUAGUCUUGUUCGCAUUGAACAAUAUUAUAAAGAGACAGUACAGUACGGAUCAAAUUAAUAAUUCAAACACACACAAUGUGUUUAUCUUUAUGUUUGUACAAUCUAUGCCACAUGGGUUCAGCUACUGCCAGAUCAUGAGAACACCAAGUCUGGUUAUUGAUAAGUGAUGUAAUUGCUAUCUGAGACCUCAUGCCAAUAGGUACAUCCACUAUCAUUAAAAGGAGACCCGUUUUUCGUGUUUCCCUCAAAGCUCCACUCCUGUAUCAUUAGGAAUGCACUCUCGCAUUCUGAAGCACACCGGGAGUUUCCUAUCUUUACCCAUUUUUAUUUUUAUGAUCGGCCAAAUAGAAGAAAUUAAUAGUCCAAUUGCUAAAAAUAAUGGGAUGUAGUUUCUUCCAUAUACUCAAGAUGUAGGGGUCGAAGGCACCAGGAAGUUAUAUCAUGCGACCACGAUCCGUGGAAGAAUACUCGUCUGGAUGUGGUGGAUUUGUAGUGAACCUGAGCUGAGUAGAGUCUCUCGUGGAUGAGGGCCACAUAUGCUCCUGGGGCAAAGAAAGCGCAUUACAGACCCUGAAGAUGCUACCAAACUCCCGUUGCCAAAAGCAAUCAAGCAACCACAUGUAAUGCACUAACGUAUGAGUGAUUGGACGGACUGUGUGACCCAUCUACUGGGUGUUCAUUGGCCUCAUUGUGUUCUUCAGGGGAUUAUUUCGGUUUUCAGAAUAAUUAGUCGAUUCAUUGGACAGGGUCUAGAGUCUUAGAAUGACAGAGACCGAAUGUUUAACUGUCUCAACUUUGUUCAGCAAUCUAAAAAUGAUUUUUCAUGGAAGGCCAUUGACCUGGACUGUGACUAGUGUGAGAGUUUCUACGAUAAUUGAUGAAGCUAUUUCAUCCUCAGGGUCACCCCUUAUUUUUAGUUUACGUAACAGUUCAAUUUAGAAAAUGCCAAGCACACAUGUAGUCCAUUCCUGCCAAAUUUCUUUAUAUAACUCUUUAAUUUACCCAUCUUAGUGCCCAAGGGGGAAUGACAUCAUUAACUCGAAAAAUAGACAAAUUUGAAGUCAAAAAACAUAUAAGCCACUUACCGGCAAAUUACAAGGAAAGCACAUUAAUCUGGAAUGUGGCGUAUGUGAGUACAUUACUAGGUAUAUAUGGAAAAAUAAGUUGAUAAUAACAUGUCCUUUAUUUUGGUGCUGCUUUCCAUAUGCUGCUGCCUUUAUUCUCCUACAAU